This 484-nucleotide ribosomal RNA is filed under the name uncultured bacterium. Its description in RNAcentral is "bacterial SSU rRNA". It matches the Rfam family "Bacterial small subunit ribosomal RNA", at positions 20 to 518 of the family's 1533-position model. The record is from RNAcentral.
UGGCUCAGGACGAACGCUGGCGGCGUGCCUAACACAUGCAAGUCGAACGAAGUAUAUUUUCGGAAUGUACUUAGUGGCGGACGGGUGAGUAACGCGUGAACAAUCUGCCCUAUACAAAGGAAUAGCCUCGGGAAACUGGGAUUAAAACCGUAUGACGCUUUUAAGUCGCAUGACAUAGAAGCCAAAUUGAAUAAGAGGUAUAGGAUGAGUUCGCGUCUGAUUAGCUAGUUGGUGGGGUAAAGGCCUACCAAGGCGACGAUCAGUAGCCGGCCUGAGAGGGUGAACGGCCACACUGGAACUGAGACACGGUCCAGACUCCUACGGGAGGCAGCAGUGGGGAAUAUUGCACAAUGGAGGAAACUCUGAUGCAAGCGACGCCGCGUGAGUGAAGAAGGUCUUCGGAUCGUAAAACUCUGUCCUUGGUGAAGAAGAAAAUGACGGUAGCCAAGGAGGAAGCCCCGGCUAACUACGUGCCAGCAGCUGC